GGUGGGGACGACGUCAAGUCAUCAUGCCCCUUAUGACCUGGGCUACACACGUGCUACAAUGGACGGUACAACGAGUCGCGAGACCGCGAGGUUUAGCUAAUCUCUUAAAGCCGUUCUCAGUUCGGAUUGUAGGCUGCAACUCGCCUACAUGAAGUCGGAAUCGCUAGUAAUCGCGAAUCAGCAUGUCGCGGUGAAUACGUUCCCGGGCCUUGUACACACCGCCCGUCACACCAUGAGAGUUUGUAACACCCAAAGCCGGUGGGGUAACCGCAAGGAGCCAGCCGUCUAAGGUGGGACAGAUGAUUGGGGUGAAGUCGUAACAAGGUAGCCGUAGGAGAACCUGCGGCUGGAUCACCUCCUUUCUAAGGAA
Molecule: ribosomal RNA, 370 nt
Filed under: Ligilactobacillus salivarius
Lineage: Bacteria; Bacillati; Bacillota; Bacilli; Lactobacillales; Lactobacillaceae
Description: bacterial SSU rRNA
Rfam family: Bacterial small subunit ribosomal RNA
Source: RNAcentral